GUGGGGAAUAUUGGACAAUGGGCGAAAGCCUGAUCCAGCCAUGCCGCGUGUGUGAAGAAGGUCUUCGGAUUGUAAAGCACUUUAAGUUGGGAGGAAGGGCAGUAAGUUAAUACCUUGCUGUUUUGACGUUACCGACAGAAUAAGCACCGGCUAACUUCGUGCCAGCAGCCGCGGUAAUACGAAGGGUGCAAGCGUUAAUCGGAAUUACUGGGCGUAAAGCGCGCGUAGGUGGUUUUGUAAGUUGGAGGUGAAAUCCCCGGGCUCAACCUGGGAACUGCCUCCAAAACUGGAUGACUAGAGUACGGUAGAGGGUAGUGGAAUUUCCUGUGUAGCGGUGAAAUGCGUAGAUAUAGGAAGGAACACCAGUGGCGAAGGCGACCACCUGGACUGAUACUGACACUGAGGUGCGAAAGCGUGGGGAGCAAACAGGAUUAGAAACCCUGGUAGUCC
This 450-nucleotide ribosomal RNA is filed under the name uncultured bacterium. RNAcentral's name for it is "partial 16S ribosomal RNA". It matches the Rfam family "Bacterial small subunit ribosomal RNA", at positions 354 to 796 of the family's 1533-position model. The record is from RNAcentral.